Non-coding RNA from Oryza brachyantha (malo sina), 195 nucleotides. The record is from Rfam. NCBI's taxonomy places the organism in Eukaryota, Viridiplantae, Streptophyta, Magnoliopsida, Poales, Poaceae.
UUUUCGUUUUUUCGUAUCCAACAUUUGACCAUUCAUUUUAUUUAAAAAAUUUGUAUAAAAACUUUUAAAAUAGCCACGCAUAAAAUACUAUUUAUGUUUUAUUAUUUAGUAAGAACAAAAAUAUUAAUCGUAAAUUUUUUUCAAAUAAGACAAAUGGUCAAAUAUUGGACACGGAAAAACAAAAAUGAUCUUAUU